Molecule: transfer RNA, 64 nt
Filed under: Vampyroteuthis infernalis
Lineage: Eukaryota; Metazoa; Mollusca; Cephalopoda; Vampyromorpha; Vampyroteuthidae
Description: tRNA-His
Source: RNAcentral
GUAAAAUUAGUUUAUUAAAAUACUAAAUUGUGGAUUUAGUGAAAAACUAUUUGUUUAUUUUACU